RNAcentral lists this ribosomal RNA (396 nucleotides) under uncultured bacterium. RNAcentral's name for it is "bacterial SSU rRNA". It matches the Rfam family "Bacterial small subunit ribosomal RNA", at positions 954 to 1351 of the family's 1533-position model. The record is from RNAcentral.
GCACAACGCGAAGAACCUUACCAGGCCUUGACAUGCAGAGAACUUUCCAGAGAUGGAUUGGUGCCUUCGGGAACUCUGACACAGGUGCUGCAUGGCUGUCGUCAGCUCGUGUCGUGAGAUGUUGGGUUAAGUCCCGUAACGAGCGCAACCCUGUCCUUAGUUACCAGCACGUUAUGGUGGACACUCUAAGGAGACUGCCGGUGACAAACCGGAGGAAGGUGGGAUGGACGUCGAAGUCAUCAUGGCCUUACGGCCUGGGCUACACACGUGCUACAAUGGUCGGUACAGAGGUUGCCAAGCCGCGAGGUGGAGCUAAUCUCACAAAACCGAUCGUAGUCCGGAUCGCAGUCUGCAACUCGACUGCGUGAAGUCGGAAUCGCUAGUAAUCGCGAAUCA